GCUGUGUGGACUUUAAUUAGUGCCGGCCUUCCCGAGUCAACAAGGGAUGAGCACAUGCACGGUCCAGUUUGGCUGUCUCCAUUAUAUUGCCAUUAAACAAAUGCAACUCGCAGUAAAAAAAAAAAAAAAACAGGCAAUCUUUGUGCAAUGUGGAGCAGAAAACAUGAGCAGACAACGUUCUUCCCUUUCUAGGCUUGCAACUCAUUUAAACGUAAUGCUGCAUGUUGAUAAGCAUCAGCAACAUACGGAGCGCUUGCUCGUUAAAUCACCUAUUAGAAGAUGACGCAGACGAUGUUCUUAAUAAAGACGUGCCUCAGAGCCGAGCGGGUUCGUUCUUUAGCUACUCUCGUAGCGUCCUCGUGUCACGCUUCAUGUGUUGCAGACAGGACGAUGUUUGGCUCUCCUCGUGGUCGAAGGGUUAAAAGCGAAGCCCUGGGCCAUCGUGGGACACUGCGACUUGGCAUUUAUGUUGAUGAGUCCUGAUCACAGACUCUAGUCAUUAAACUAAUAAG
Long non-coding RNA from Cyprinus carpio carpio, 512 nucleotides. Lineage: Eukaryota; Metazoa; Chordata; Actinopteri; Cypriniformes; Cyprinidae. The record is from Ensembl.